CCUACGGGAUGCAGCAGUGGGGAAUAUUGCUCAAUGGGGGAAACCCUGAUGCAGCAACGCCGCGUGAGUGAGGAAGUAUUUCGUUAUGUAAAGCUCGAUCAGCAGGGAAGAAAAUGACGGUACCUGAGUAAGAAGCCCCGGCUAACUACGUGCCAGCAAUCGCGGUAAUACGUAGGGGGCAAGCGUUAUCCGGAUUUACUGGGUGUAAAGGGAGCGUAGACGGCAGGGAAAGGCUGGAGUGAAAGGCGGGGGCUCAAUCCCCGGACUGCUCUGGAAACGGGACGGCAGGAGUGCAGGAGAGGUAAGUGGAAUUCCUAGUGUAGCGGUGAAAUGCGUAGAUAUUAGGAAGAACACCAGUGGCGAAGGCGGCUUACUGGACUGUAACUGACGUUGAGGCUCGAAAGCGUGGGGAGCGAACAGGAUUAGAUACCCUUGUAGUC
RNAcentral lists this ribosomal RNA (440 nucleotides) under uncultured bacterium. RNAcentral's name for it is "partial 16S ribosomal RNA". It matches the Rfam family "Bacterial small subunit ribosomal RNA", at positions 338 to 795 of the family's 1533-position model. The record is from RNAcentral.